UUUAUUAGGGUUCAAAUUAUCCUUUUCCAUGUGAAUUGUAUGCUUUCCAAGUUAAUAAGUAGCCAAUUGUAAUUGAGAAUUUUACACUUAGGAUGAAUGAGUAUAGUGCCAUGUGAAUCCUAGUGGUACAAAAACUAGGACAAACUAGUUGUAUAUAUGGACAUAGAAAAUAUAGUGAAACACUAGGCAUUAUUGUGAGUGUUAAUGUAAGGACUGAGAUUUUGACAGUGCAACUAAAUUCUCUGUUGACGAUGUUUAGGUGUGUAAUUUAAUUACAAAAGCACUCGUUAAGUUUCAGGAGAAACCGAGUUAGAAUGGAGAAUUUACGCGAUUAUUAGUUUUCACUUAAAGUGAAUAGUAACCUGGUUUUUCGGUGAAGCCACGGAGUAGAGUUGGCUUUCGGCGCGUAUCGGACUCCGUUCAUAGCGAUCCAAUAGCUCGUUUCGACCGGUUCAGCUAUUCUGGAACCAAUGGCACUAACGGAUUUUAGAUCUAAUGCACGGUUUUCGAGAAAAAGGGAAUUUAUCGAAAAGAGGGUUUUCGCUUUUUGCUGUUCUUGCAUAAUGAGACUCCUUGUGCUUUGUGUAUGUGACCUAGAGUAAGGUGAGGGAUGUUACAUGUACCUACUAGUGGUAGGAGAUUCAAAUUUGAAUUUGAAUCUAGGAUUUAGUGGGAUUACACAUUGGUUUAUGUGUGUGGUUUUUGGAAAUUGAAGAGCGGACGGGUUUCGUCGCGAAUCCGUGACCGAUCGAUGUGAACCAAAAUCUUAGGUUUAUUGUCCCCGUCGUGCUGAACGCGAUGGAGCAAUCCGUUCGGAAUUCUGAUGAACGGAUUGCCGGAUAUCGCAUGAUGUUCGAAAAGGGGUCUAAAGUGAUGACUAAUUGGAAUUUUCGCAAAAGUCCCCAUAUUUUAUGUACCGAAUCGCGCGAAAUCAAACGUGGAGGUG
RNAcentral lists this long non-coding RNA (946 nucleotides) under Ananas comosus (pineapple). Its description in RNAcentral is "long non-coding RNA (ACOM_LNC015233)". The record is from RNAcentral. Lineage: Eukaryota; Viridiplantae; Streptophyta; Magnoliopsida; Poales; Bromeliaceae.